This 820-nucleotide long non-coding RNA is filed under the name Panax ginseng (ginseng). RNAcentral's name for it is "long non-coding RNA (PGIN_LNC005109)". The record is from RNAcentral. Lineage: Eukaryota; Viridiplantae; Streptophyta; Magnoliopsida; Apiales; Araliaceae.
UUGGCCUGUUUUGUAGUCACCCGUCAUUGAUAUCCCAUUGUUGAGGAUUGACGGUUUCACAUUAUCAGAGGGUCCCUGCACUCAGGAGAUGUUCCAGCAUUGGUGGUUCCCUCGUACCAUUGGAGCCCAGACCCGCGCCACUCAAUUCAUGGGGAAUAUGGUUCCAAGAUCCGUGAUGAUGAUGGAUUGGCUAGCAUGUGUCCGAGAUCCGACUCAUUUGACACAGAUUGACAGUUUGACCCGGCAGUUGGAUCAGGCACAUUUCUUUAUCUGGCACUUGGGCAGAGAUCCUUUAGAGGCAGAUACUUUUGAUCCUUCCAGUCUGGCGCUGGCCCCUCAGGUGACCCAUAUGGUUUUGCCGGUGCAGAUCCUCCCUUGUAUAGGCCUGACAUCCCUGUAGAUAGAGAUCCUGUGAUUCAGGAGGAGUUACAUCAGGUGGACAGGAUUAAUGAUGUAGACAUUGACACUAUUGUCUUCUUCUGAUGUAUAUUCUCAUUAUCUCUUUUGAUAGGCCUUUGUUAGACAUUGGGUAGCUUUGCCCCAUUCACGCUAUAUCUUUUGAUAUGCCUCUGUUAGAUGUAGGGCAGUUUUGCCCCAUUUCCCUGUAUUUUAGCUGUACAGAGAUGUAUUAGAUGAUGAUAUACUUAGGAAUGUAUGUACAGUUUCCAUUCCCUAUAUAAUAUUGCCAUAUAUUGUAUCAUGCAUGUUAUUAUGUUAUGCAUAUGUAUGUAUGUCUAGAGAUAUUCAGCAUUAACCCCUGGAUGGUCUUAUGACACGGCCUGCACAGAUGUCUUCUUCGAUAGUUAGCCGUAUUGAUCAU